RNAcentral lists this ribosomal RNA (165 nucleotides) under Citrus sp. 'kathairi nimbu'. RNAcentral's name for it is "5.8S ribosomal RNA". It matches the Rfam family "5.8S ribosomal RNA". Rfam says of the family: 5.8S ribosomal RNA (5.8S rRNA) is a component of the large subunit of the eukaryotic ribosome. It is transcribed by RNA polymerase I as part of the 45S precursor that also contains 18S and 28S rRNA. Lineage: Eukaryota; Viridiplantae; Streptophyta; Magnoliopsida; Sapindales; Rutaceae. The record is from RNAcentral.
AAAACGACUCUCGGCAACGGAUAUCUCGGCUCUCGCAUCGAUGAAGAACGUAGCGAAAUGCGAUACUUGGUGUGAAUUGCAGAAUCCCGUGAACCAUCGAGUCUUUGAACGCAAGUUGCGCCCCCAAGCCAUUAGGCCGAGGGCACGUCUGCCUGGGUGUCACGC